GGUCCCGCCUGCCCUGUGACUCUAAGUUUAACGGCCGCGGUAUUUUGACCGUGCGAAGGUAGCGCAAUCACUUGUCUUUUAAAUGAAGACCUGUAUGAAUGGCAUCACGAGGGCUUAGCUGUCUCCUCUUCCUAGUCAGUGAAAUUGAUCUGCCCGUGCAGAAGCGGGCAUACCCCUACAAGACGAGAAGACCCUGUGGAGCUUAAGAUAUAAGACUAGCCACGUCAAACAACCAAACUAAAAGGUAUGAACAAAGUGAUGCAUAGCCAGUAUGUCUUCGGUUGGGGCGACCGCGGGGGAAAGACAAGCCCCCAUGUGGAUUGGGCCUACGCCUAAAGCCAAGAGACACAUCUCUAAGCCUCAGAAUAUCUGACCAUAAAUGAUCCGGCUAACACCGAUCAACGGACCAAGUUACCCCAGGGAUAACAGCGCAAUCCCCUCCCAGAGUCCAUAUCGACGAGGGGGUUUACGACCUCGAUGUUGGAUCAGGACAUCCUAAUGGUGCAGCCGCUAUUAAGGGUUCGUUUGUUCAACGAUUAAAGUCCUACGUGAUC
Molecule: ribosomal RNA, 554 nt
Filed under: Talismania bifurcata (threadfin slickhead)
Lineage: Eukaryota; Metazoa; Chordata; Actinopteri; Alepocephaliformes; Alepocephalidae
Description: partial 16S ribosomal RNA
Rfam family: Bacterial large subunit ribosomal RNA
Source: RNAcentral